Molecule: ribosomal RNA, 314 nt
Filed under: uncultured bacterium
Lineage: Bacteria
Description: bacterial SSU rRNA
Rfam family: Bacterial small subunit ribosomal RNA
Source: RNAcentral
GAUGAACGCUAGCUACAGGCUUAACACAUGCAAGUCGAGGGGCAUCAUGGCGGUCGCUUGCGACCGCUGAUGGCGACCGGCGCACGGGUGCGUAACGCGUAUCGAACCUGCCGCAUACCCGGGGAUAGCCUUGCGAAAGCAAGAUUAAUACCCGAUGUUCUCACUGUUCCGCAUGUUACGGUGAGCAAAGAAUUUCGGUAUGCGAUGGCGAUGCGUCCCAUUAGCUAGUUGGCGGGGUAACGGCCCACCUAACCGACGAUGCGUAGGGGUUCUGAGAGGAAGGUCCCCCACACUGGUACUGAGACACGGACCAG